CACAAUAAACAUAUGAAGGCUGCACCGCCAACAGGCGGCAAGGCUGGAGUAUUUUAUUACCCUUGUCUUUUGCGCACUUGUUGUUUCCUGGGCGGGUUCGCCCGCCUCCAGGACCACAUGAUAAACCUUUUUUAUGCAGUUGCAAUCAGCGUCAGUACAACAAAUGUAGAUCAUUUA
Molecule: unclassified non-coding RNA, 177 nt
Filed under: soil metagenome
Description: partial internal transcribed spacer 1
Source: RNAcentral